This 1405-nucleotide long non-coding RNA is filed under the name Macaca fascicularis (crab-eating macaque). RNAcentral's name for it is "lncRNA (ENSMFAG00000057105.1)". The record is from RNAcentral. Lineage: Eukaryota; Metazoa; Chordata; Mammalia; Primates; Cercopithecidae.
GGGGCUGCCAACAGAGCCAGUGUGCUUGCAGGUUUCAAAUCCACACGCUGGGGCCGUGAGCCGGGCCAGGUCAGGUCAGAUCGCUCAGCUGAGCAUUCUGGGUACGCUAGAAGAAAAUACUUGCUUUUCCGUGAUUGCCGAGGAAUGGAUGUGCUCAAGUAACUUCUAGCGGGUCAGUGAGGUGACUAUUUCCGGAGGCCCUCUCGCCUCUCUCGGUUCCUCCCUGUGGUUGCAGGAGGCUGGCUGCGGGCCACUGGUGGAGCCGGCCCUGGAUACCGAGAGUCUCGCCUCCGGGAUGGGCUGUGGGCCACAGACAUUGGCGUCUGGCGACUCUCUCUGGUGGCCAGCGUCUUCAGGUUCUCAAAUCCCGGUGGUGGAAGUCCCUCGUUCUGACUGUGCCAUGGAGUGUCAGUGUGCCGAAACUAAAAUGCUUGGCCAGCUUUUCUUUUCCUUUCUACAAUUUUAAUUGUGGUAAAAUACACAUCACACAAAAUAUUCCACUUUAAAAUACCACUUUAACCGUUUUGAAGUGGAUAGCUAGGAGGCAUUCAGCACAUUCACGGUGUUGUGCAGCCAUCACCACCGUCUGUCACCGGAGACCUUUGUCCUCCCAAACUAAAGCCCUGUCCCCGUUCAGCACCAACUGCCCGCACUCCUCAGCCCAAGGCAACCACCAUUCUACUUCCUGUCUCUAUGAAUUUGACUACUCUAAGGGCCUCAUGGAAGUGGAAUCUCACAGUAUUUGUCUUUUUGUAUCUGGCCGACUUCACUUGGCAUGAUGUCCUCAAGGGUCAUCCAUCUUGUAGCUCGGCUCAGAAUUUCCUCCCUUUCGAAGGCUGAAUCGUAUUCUGUGGCACGCGUGGACCGCGUCUGCAUAUCCAUCCAUGGAUGGGCGCUUGGGCUGCUUUCACCUUUUGGCUGCUGUGGAUAGUGCUGCUAUCAGCCAGGUGCGGUGGCUCACGCCUCUCAUCCCAGCACCUUGGGAGGCUGAGGUGGGAGGAUCCCUUGAGCCCAGGAGUUCGAGACCAGCCUGGGCAACAUACUGAGACGUCCUCUCUACAAAAAACAAAAAGGGUAGCUGGGUGUGGUGACGCAUGCUUGUAGUCCCAGCUACUUGAGAGGCUGAGGCAGGAGGAUCGCCUGAGCCCAGGAGGUGGAGGCUGCAAUGAGCCAGGACCACACCACUGCACUUGGGCCUGGGCAACAGAGUGAGGGCUUGUCUCAAAUAAUAAUAAUAAAAAUAAUUAAUGCUGUCAGUAUGGAUGUUCAAAUACCCCAUUGACUCUGCUUUCAAUUUUGGGGGGUAUUACCCAGAAGUGGGGUUGCUGGGUAAUUUUAUGUUUCAUUUUUUGAAGAACCAUCACAAUAUUUGCUUGCUUCAAAAAAAAAAAAAAAAAAAAAAAAA